UAAAUACAGCCCAAUUAAAUACAGUACAAUAAAUUCAGCCCAAUUAAAUAAAUACAGCCCAAUAAAUUUAAUUCAGCCCAUCCACACUUUUCAACCCUAAAAUACAAGUUAAAUACUCAUCUCCUCUAAAAUUAGGGUUCAGCGCCGCUUCUUCUCUCUCAUUUCUUCUCACAUCCGUGCUCUCCCUUGUCUUCUCUCUCCCUCUGCCGACUUUCUUCCACCUGCCGGCGAGAAGCUCAAACGUUCUCUCUAUCGUCUUCUCUCUCCCUCUGCCGGAGAAAAACUUGCAACCGUAUCACGGCAAAGCCGCGGUUCGAAAACCCUUAGAUCCCUAAACUACCAACUCCGGCCUCACAUCUAGACGACGCUCCACGCGGUGUCGCCUAUCUCCUCGACGACGAUAAAUGAGCCGUUGCCUCCCUCUGCUCAGCCCUUAACCAGCCGCCGCCGUCCGAGUUUCAAACUACGGCGUCGCCCAGCCCUAGCUUCCAGAUCUCGGCCUCCUCCCUCGACUGCAUCUUUAAUUCUUGCGAUCUCCAUGUAUAUUUUUUCUUGCUGAAUGGAUUAUUUUUUUUUCAUUUAGCCACAAAUUUUGAAACAACAACUUGUUUAAUACAAUCUCAGUGGUAAUACUUCAGAUCUCAGUGGUAAUACUUCCACUGAAAGAUUCAGUCUUAAUCUUCUGCGGUCUUGAUCUGCUGCAAAAAUUCAGAUAUAUUAGCUACAUUUUUAGACUUUGUGUGUAAAGUAGAAAAAAGUGUAUAAAUUUGUAUCUUAGUUGUAAUUGAAACUAAUAAUAAACAGCAAAAAAACUAAACAGAAUAAAAAGAAAAA
This is a long non-coding RNA of Salvia miltiorrhiza (redroot sage), 834 nucleotides long. RefSeq lists it as uncharacterized. Lineage: Eukaryota; Viridiplantae; Streptophyta; Magnoliopsida; Lamiales; Lamiaceae. The transcript is spliced from 2 exons. The record is from RefSeq and is a predicted model, not a curated record.